This 427-nucleotide ribosomal RNA is filed under the name uncultured bacterium. RNAcentral's name for it is "partial 16S ribosomal RNA". It matches the Rfam family "Bacterial small subunit ribosomal RNA", at positions 355 to 774 of the family's 1533-position model. The record is from RNAcentral.
UGGGGAAUAUUGGACAAUGGGCGAAAGCCUGAUCCAGCCAUGCCGCGUGUGUGAAGAAGGUCUUCGGAUUGUAAAGCACUUUAAGUUGGGAGGAAGGGCAUUAACCUAAUACGUUAGUGUUUUGACGUUACCGACAGAAUAAGCACCGGCUAACUCUGUGCCAGCAGCCGCGGUAAUACAGAGGGUGCAAGCGUUAAUCGGAAUUACUGGGCGUAAAGCGCGCGUAGGUGGUUUGUUAAGUUGGAUGUGAAAUCCCCGGGCUCAACCUGGGAACUGCAUUCAAAACUGACUGACUAGAGUAUGGUAGAGGGUGGUGGAAUUUCCUGUGUAGCGGUGAAAUGCGUAGAUAUAGGAAGGAACACCAGUGGCGAAGGCGACCACCUGGACUAAUACUGACACUGAGGUGCGAAAGCGUGGGUAGCAAACA